CGGCCAUGUCUCUCUUGCUGGGUAGUGAGUUUAUCUCAUUUUCCAUAUGAACCAAAAACAGAUUUUAUGGCUCGGUGUUACUUCUGCUCCGUCUAAUUUACAAGUAUCCAUUCCUAAAAAUCUGAGUGCUUUUUGACAGAUUAAAGGCAUCAGCAGUUCAGCCUCUGAUGGCCAGCGAUGCCAAUCUAUCUCGCACUUUCAAAUACUUAUUGGGUUAGUUUUCCUUCCUCUUUUUCUUUGCAUUUUUCCCUCCAAAAUUAAGGUUAUGCAGUUUGGGUGUUUAUAAAGUAUUGGCCAACCUUGGCGAGGUAUAGCCACACAGUUCUUGUCAAGAGGAAUUCCAUUUAUUUUCAAAUAAUGGAUCGUCAGGCACCUCACAGGAGAGGAUUAUGCGGUACUAUCAUUUCUAUGAACUGUUAUCAGCUUUCUGUUUUUGUUCUUUCUCUUCCUACUUUUAUUUUAAAAGUUGUUUCAUUCGGGGUUAUGAUCUGAAAUAAAAUUUAAUUGCUCUUUUUUCCCCUUCAAAUUCAGCUUUACGUUGUUCAGUUUCAUCUGUUUGUUACUUGUGUCUUGUUUCUUAGUCGGGAGGGAUUUCGGCGAGCUUGCAUGAGGGCUGAAAUUAAAUGGUAUUACCUCUCUGCCUAUCUUAAAUCAACCUGCGUAUGCUUCUUGGCAUCUCCAAAUUGUUAUAAAAUGUGGUUAGUGAGAAGAGUGCUUGAUUUGUGAAAUUCUGCAAUAUCUAUAAUUUGAUUUAUGGUACAGUUCUAGACAACUUUUGAACCGUUUCCUUUGUUAGGAUGUAGGAUCUUUGCUUCAUGGUGACAUAUGUUUUGUGUAGAGGUGCGCUAUCAUCUGAUCUGAUGAUCUCAUACUUGUCUUAUGCCACAGUGAUGGUACGUCAACAGAAGAAUAUGCAGCAAAUCUAUUAAAAGUAGCUUGGAUGACUCUCCCUCUUGUGAUAGUUAUCACAGCUGCUGCCUGCAUUUUUGUAGUUUGGUGGCAAGGACUAAGCCAUUCUGACCCAUAUGCACAAGCAAUCUUGAUUAAUGGCAAUAUUUUAUGACCGCCUCUAACUUUCGAGUUAAAAUUUUGCAGCAGGCUGUGCAUGUAUACUGGAGCUAUUGGCUGAACCGUUAUUUAUCCUUUCUCAGAAUUUACUCCAGCUUGAACUGCGCUUGAUGGUUGAAACAGUUGCUACCCUUUUACAUUUUCUGACUAUUUAUAUCCUUAUUGUCAGACAACCCAGCAUGGUAAAACUCUUAAUUGUUUUAUCUCACUAAUUGCAUGUUUUCAAUCUACUAAUAGCGCAUUCCAAUGGAAUACCCAGACCUUUUCUUAAAAUCUUAGAUUGAAUGCUGUUAUUUGUUCUUUAGCUAAUUCAAAGAUGUCCUGUGAUGGCACUUCAAUAUGAAAAUCCCAUUUUCAAAAGUUUGUGAAGUGCACAAGUAAUAUCAAUUACAUCCCUGUCGAUUCUAUUCAUAAUUAUGCUUGCAGUAGGGCAUGCUGUAUUCAAAUCUUAGAGGAGAAUCUCUCAUCCUAUCCGUGGAUAUUCUUUUGGUGUUAUGGCAUUACACCUCACUAUCUGUUCCUUAUCUCAAAGUAGGUUUUCUUUUUAUUUAUUUUUUAUUUUUACUUAUUUUGAUCAUAAAGUUUGCAUUUUUUUAAAAUCUUUUUGGUAAUAUAGUUAAAUUUUUGGAAAGCAUAACUAGUUGUCAAUAAGUUGUUUCAUGGCAAAUGUCACUAAUAAUAAAAGGUUAGAGACAUUUCCUCAGUUCUGUCUCCGUGUCUAGUCAGCUAAGUAAUAUUCUAGAUCUUAAUUGGUAAAUGUGGCAAGACCUACUUGUUUUCUUGUAAUUUAUGUGGGCCUGGUCUACAGUUUUGCAUGGUGACUGCUGCUAAUAUAAAAAUUUCCCUGAUUGUUGUAGGAGAAAGGGAUCAUCUUUGCAUUGUCACAAACUGCAUAUGGAGCUUGCUUGUUCUUAGGAUAUUGGAGUUAUUUUCUUUUUUUCCGUGCAUUUAGAAGCUCUGAUCUUCUCCGUUUUAGGUAUAGAUUCUUCUUCUAUCAUACAAUUUUUUUUUUCUUUGAUAUGUUUUGGUUGUUAUUGCCCCUUCAAAAGAAAAAGGAAAAAAGAGUAAACAAAAUUGUUGAGAUUAAUUAUAAGAUGUAUAUAAAGUUAUGAACAUCAAAUAGUAAUGAUUUGAAUCCUGAGACAUGACCUUAAUGGGAAAUGCCUCCUUCAAUGGUCUGCUGAACUUCCAAGUUUCAUUGGGAGGGCUCAACCUGUUUGAUUGGCAGCUCCUAUUCUUUUUAAGCUAUUAAAAAUGACUCUUAAAAUUGGUUGUGUUACAUUAUUAUUAAUUAUAUGCUAAAUUUGUUCAUAAAUGCUUGUUUUUUCCGGUUUUUGUCCAAUUAUUUUAGUCAAUCAUGUUCUUUCACAGUCUAGGAACUAAAAUGGAUUACGAUAAGCAACUCUCAAACAUGUGUAUGUUGUUUACUCUUCAAUCCUUUCAGAAGCUAAUUCUUCGAGAAGGGGAAAAGAUGGUCCUUGUGUGGUUGGACACCCCUUAUAACCAGGCUGUAUAUGGCUUGUUGACAGACUGGGUAUGUGGACUACCUAGAUAUCCUGGGCCUUACUGUGUUACAGUUUCAAUUUUCUGAUCACAUUAAGUUUUUUUAUUGAAUAAAUCAAUAACAACUUUUACUAUUUCAGUUGAGAAAAAUGCCAUUAAUCUUGGAUGUUUGAAGUUCGGAGCAUGUUAUAAUUAUUAAAUUAUUUAUUCCAGGAAGCUUAGUAGUGAGAUUGGUGUUUCUGCCAUUUGAGGAAAGUUCAUAUUCUACCUUUGCUAGGUCUGCAUCAGGAGAAUAUCCACACAAAAGCAGGAAAUUGGGAAGCUACCUCACUGAGGCCCUUAAGCUUGUUUUGUUAAUUGGUAUUUCCGGUUGCUCGCUUGCCAUUGUUAUAAUUAUUCCUUUUAUCCAUUUAAUCAGCUCACUGUUCAAUUUUUCAUCUGAUUAUCAUUGUAUUCCAUAAUGAAAAAUUCUGUAGCAUUUAACUUUAUGCUGAUAUGCAUGUCAAGAAGUGCUGAAAAUCGGGACAUUAUUUCUAUAUCAACUUGCUUUGAACUUUAUGACUAUAAAUGAUCAAUUCCAUCCUUUCAAGAAUCCUCUUCUUAUACUUUCAGGUCUCGUAUUCAUGGCAUUUGGCCCAAGUUACUCUUACUCUCUAAUCAGAUUAUUGUAUGGCCAUAAAUGGAGUGAUGGGGAAGCAUCAACAGCUCUCCGGUAUAAUUGCCUUUAUAUUGUUGUUUUGUCUAUGAAUGGUGAGUAGCUAGUUUUCAUCACCAUUCCCAAAUAUAUUAUUUAUGUAGCAACUACCAUUACGUAUCACUCUUCCAUGACAUUCUACUUCAUUUCCUUCUUAUUUUGAUUCUUGUUGAUUCCUGGCUAUGUAUUGGAUGACAAUAGUGCUCUGUCUUAUAUAUUCUAUCAUUCUAUUGAUCCAGAAAACAGUGCAACAGAACUGUAAAUUGUGCUUACUUGUCUGUGAACAUGUAAACACAACAUCAUACAACUCAAUUAUUUUAGAUGUGCAUAUGCUACAUGCAGCUAUCCUUGAGAUAAUAUUAUGGAGAUUUUGAUCCUUAUUUUGUUUUUGCAUCAGGAACCUCUGAAGCAUCUCUACAUGCUGUUGCAACAGAGAACCAACUCAAACGUUCAAAUGAUUCAUUGCUUGUUUUCUCUCUGCUAUAUGUGGCACUGAAUGUCCUACUGAUAAGGUCAGCUGCUGCAGUUGGCUUGAUUCUGGCAAAUUCAUUGAGUAUCCUUUGUGUUGUGAGUUUUUCAGCUAAGAGACCAACUCUACUAGAUGCAUGGUACGCCAUUGCGGUUACACAUAUUGUAAAUUAUACCACCUGUAAUUGAUAGUAUUUCAUGAUAAAAAUUCCAUGUGAUAUUUUUGGCACGAAACGAUGCUUUAGUUCUUGAUUCCAGAAUUCAACUUCUUGUCAUUCUCAAUGAGAUGAGUGCUUUAAGUUGGUCUCUAGUUUCUUGACUUUUGUGAAGAUAUGAGUUUGAGGAUUAUAUACUCUGCAAUAUUCAUCAGGCAUUAUUUCAAGGUAUGAGUUUGAUGGUGCAACUUUUGCACAUUUUGAUCAUCCAGAUUGACCUUACACUGGAAAAUGUUCCUCUACCUCCACAGGAUUCUUCUGCAUUUACAUUUCGCAGCUGCUUGCCUUCAGCUUGGACAGUUCUGUUGUUUUCAGAUGUAACCACUCUCAUCUCUGAGAAAAUAUUUCUGGAUCUCAAAAAUUUCACGCCGACAUUUGUAGUUCACUUUUUCAUUGGGUUCACUUGCUAUUGCAUAUCCUCUAUUGUCAUUUAUCGCCGGGAUAGGCCUUUUAUCGAAAAAUUAUCCGAUUUUGCGAUCAUGUGGACUGAAGAAUGGCGAACUACCUCAAGAGCUUUCGAAGAUGGAUUUACUUUCUUUGGUAUUACUCAAUCAUUGUCUAUCUACUCUUGUGAUUUUUAUUUUUAUUUUUCUUCCACGCACGCAAAACUACUGUAAUUGAAGAAACAGAGAGAAACAAAAGAGUCCUAUGCUAGGGGACUCAAGUAGUUUGCUAGCAACCACAACAACAGCCGCUGAUGGUGGUGGUGGUGGUGCUGCUGCUGCUGGUAUCAGGCAGGCUCUCUCCCCCAAGAGAGCCUCCUCUCUCCUUCAUCAGAAUGAGAAUGAUGGUUGAAGGUUUGUUUUCUCUGUGUAUCUCACUCACUCUCUCACUCUUUAUCUG
Molecule: unclassified non-coding RNA, 4791 nt
Filed under: Hevea brasiliensis (rubber tree)
Lineage: Eukaryota; Viridiplantae; Streptophyta; Magnoliopsida; Malpighiales; Euphorbiaceae
Source: RNAcentral